UACGUGGGGGGCAAGCGUUGUCCGGAAUCAUUGGGCGUAAAGAGCGUGUAGGCGGCCCGGUCAGUCCGCCGUGAAAGUCCAGGGCUCAACCCUGGAAUGCCGGUGGAUACUGCCGGGCUGGAGUCCGGAAGAGGCGAGUGGAAUUCCUGGUGUAGCGGUGAAAUGCGCAGAUAUCAAGAGGAACACCGAUGGCGAAGGCAGCUCGCUGGGACGGUACUGACGCUGAGACGCGAAAGCGUGGGGAGCAAACAGG
This 253-nucleotide ribosomal RNA is filed under the name uncultured bacterium. Its description in RNAcentral is "partial 16S ribosomal RNA". It matches the Rfam family "Bacterial small subunit ribosomal RNA", at positions 524 to 776 of the family's 1533-position model. The record is from RNAcentral.